RNAcentral lists this long non-coding RNA (715 nucleotides) under Aotus nancymaae (Ma's night monkey). RNAcentral describes it as "lncRNA (ENSANAG00000039215.1)". Lineage: Eukaryota; Metazoa; Chordata; Mammalia; Primates; Aotidae. The record is from RNAcentral.
CUGUUAAACUCCUUUCUAAGCUAAUCGUCUUGGGGCCAAUGUGGUACUCAUGCUAUCAGCAAUGUCUUUUUGCAGUUUUCUGACCGCUGGGUGACAGAAACAAUUUCCUGACCAUAGUGAUCCUGAAAGCUAGUUAUAACCCCUGGGCUAUGCUCAUCCAUGUUCUUUCUCCCUUCCAGGAAUGAUGAUGACCAGAGUGCCUUGGAAGCCAUUUUGAAGAAGGCAGAUAUGACAACACGCUGGGUCUACAGAAGCGGCGCUGCUUGUCAAUAUGGAAUACCCAUAGUUGAUUCUUAUGAACUCACACAGUUCAAAGAGUGGAAUGUCAUCAAGGCAUUGCCUGAUGCAUCUGUCACCACACUCACUGGAGGGAAUUAAUCUAGGAAUAGGCAGGUUCCAGGGACCAUCAGCAACAUACCAAACCACAGCGAGAAAUCAAGCAUGACUCAGCUCCUGCCCACUGCAAUUACUCAGGACCUCUGCCCUUCAGAUGUGGGGAAAAGCCCAGCAGUGUCUUGCAGUAACUGCUGCUCAGGUCUGGAACUUCCUGACAAAUUACCUAGCAAGUCCUUUGCUAAGGGGAGGCUCAAACUGGAUUUCAGAAGACCCACCUGACCAGGAUGACUGAAACAAACUGUGGACUGGGUACCAAUCCAAAGGAUAAUAUUGUAGCGUCAGGAAUAAAAUAAAUUUCAACUCAAUAAGAAGCCUAACU